GCCAUGGUGGUGAAAUGGUUAAGUACUUGGCUGCUAACUGAAAGACUGGUAGUUCAAACCUACCCAGUGGCU
Loxodonta africana (African savanna elephant) is the source of this 72-nucleotide transfer RNA. It matches the Rfam family "tRNA". Rfam says of the family: Transfer RNA (tRNA) molecules are approximately 80 nucleotides in length. Their secondary structure includes four short double-helical elements and three loops (D, anti-codon, and T loops). Further hydrogen bonds mediate the characteristic L-shaped molecular structure. tRNAs have two regions of fundamental functional importance: the anti-codon, which is responsible for specific mRNA codon recognition, and the 3' end, to which the tRNAs corresponding amino acid is attached (by aminoacyl-tRNA synthetases). tRNAs cope with the degeneracy of the genetic code in two manners: having more than one tRNA (with a specific anti-codon) for a particular amino acid; and 'wobble' base-pairing, i.e. permitting non-standard base-pairing at the 3rd anti-codon position. The record is from Rfam. Lineage: Eukaryota; Metazoa; Chordata; Mammalia; Proboscidea; Elephantidae.